Molecule: long non-coding RNA, 592 nt
Filed under: Moschus moschiferus (Siberian musk deer)
Lineage: Eukaryota; Metazoa; Chordata; Mammalia; Artiodactyla; Moschidae
Description: lncRNA (ENSMMSG00000017807.1)
Source: RNAcentral
GGGCGUAACAAUUGAGGGGCGGGGCCAGGCGGGGCCUGGUCAGCAGUGGCGCUCUGCGUGGGCUCAGAGGUGCAUUGGCUCCACAGACGAGAACCGCUCAAGCCUGUGGGCCGGAGAAAAGUGACAAACCUCCGCCCCGCCUGCCCAGCCAUGUGGCGCCCGCUGAUCCUGCUGCUGCUGCUGCUCCUCCCGGCCGCCCCCGGUCCCGCCGCCACUGCCGCUCCCAUCCCGGAAACCAAAACCCAGGAGAGCCUGCAGCAGAGCCACCUCCAAGGUCCUCAAGCUGGAGAAAACAGAGGCCAGCGGGCAGUUGCAAACCACCUCCCUCACUUCGGCUGUCCUCCUGUGGCAUGAGGUGGCUGCCACCAAGGUGCUUCCCUGAAGCCCAGGAGGCAGGACUGUGGCUCGUGAGAAGCAUCCAGGGUUACAGGGGGAACCUGGGGCUUCUCCCACCCCAGUGAACACCCCCAAGACCCACUUCUGAGGCCCCCAUCCCCAGGCUCAGCAUCAGGGGCUGGACGUGGGCAUCAGAGCACUGGCAGGGGACAGACAUUUACCCUCUCUUGCUUCUUUUUGGAUUAUUAAAAUUGUU